Molecule: ribosomal RNA, 539 nt
Filed under: Aspergillus tennesseensis
Lineage: Eukaryota; Fungi; Ascomycota; Eurotiomycetes; Eurotiales; Aspergillaceae
Description: eukaryotic LSU rRNA
Rfam family: 5.8S ribosomal RNA (bases 147-300)
Source: RNAcentral
GCUGCCUCCGGGCGCCCAACCUCCCACCCGUGACUACCUAACACUGUUGCUUCGGCGGGGAGCCCUCUCGGGGGCGAGCCGCCGGGGACUACUGAACUUCAUGCCUGAGAGUGAUGCAGUCUGAGUCUGAAUAUAAAAUCAGUCAAAACUUUCAACAAUGGAUCUCUUGGUUCCGGCAUCGAUGAAGAACGCAGCGAACUGCGAUAAGUAAUGUGAAUUGCAGAAUUCAGUGAAUCAUCGAGUCUUUGAACGCACAUUGCGCCCCCUGGCAUUCCGGGGGGCAUGCCUGUCCGAGCGUCAUUGCUGCCCAUCAAGCCCGGCUUGUGUGUUGGGUCGUCGUCCCCCCCGGGGGACGGGCCCGAAAGGCAGCGGCGGCACCGUGUCCGGUCCUCGAGCGUAUGGGGCUUUGUCACCCGCUCGAUUAGGGCCGGCCGGGCGCCAGCCGACGUCUCCAACCAUUUUCUUCAGGUUGACCUCGGAUCAGGUAGGGAUACCCGCUGAACUUAAGCAUAUCAAUAAGCGAGGGAAAAAGAAAACCU